Long non-coding RNA from Glycine soja, 459 nucleotides. RefSeq lists it as uncharacterized. Lineage: Eukaryota; Viridiplantae; Streptophyta; Magnoliopsida; Fabales; Fabaceae. The record is from RefSeq and is a predicted model, not a curated record. The transcript has 3 exons.
AAGAUACCAUUGUGGGUGAUGAAAUGCAGAGAGGUGUAUCUGGUGGCCAAAAGAAGUGUGUAACCACAGUCAGGACACUGCAUUUUGAUACCUGUGGAACUGGAAAGAGUACUUGGAUAAGGCAGUUCACAUUAUCCUGACAACUGAUAAUGAUCCACUAGGUCAAGCUUUAGCGGAAGAGCUGGCACGGCGCCUUGGGCGAGAAAGAUUGUAUAUCCUGUCAUUUAUUUUCCAUGUUAAACAGUCUGUAAGUACCAAAUAUAUCCUAUCAAUAAUCAAGGUUCAAGACACAUAUUCAUGGUACCUCAACUACUUAAUGUAUUAUUAGGUUUAUGCAUGCAAAGGUGUCCAUAUCUAACUAAUAAAUCAAAAUGUGAACCAAAUUUGGCACUCUAAUAAUGGUUCAGAAAGUUUAUUGGAUCUAAGGGAUCUAAGGAUAGGUUAUGCAUUCUUUUCUUU